Acanthosepion pharaonis is the source of this 113-nucleotide non-coding RNA. Lineage: Eukaryota; Metazoa; Mollusca; Cephalopoda; Sepiida; Sepiidae. The record is from the annotation of a GenBank genome assembly.
UACAGCCAUAUCACAUUGAAACACUGGUUCCUGUAUGAUCACUGAAGUUAAGCAAUGUCAAGCCUGAUAAGUACGUAAAUGAGUGACCACUUGGAAAUACCAGGUUCUGUAAG